AACAUUAUGGAACACCUAUUUAUUAUACAUUGGGGUAUAUGGAGAACUAUAGGGCAUAUUGAGGGUAAUGGAGAACUCUCAAGGAACUUACUAUCUAAAUCUUGAGCGACAUGGGGGUCUCAGAGUCAUCUAGGAAUCAUACUACAUGAACAAGUUCCAAGAAACAGUCCAUAACAGGCAAACACGAAACAAAGCAAGGAUAACCAAAAUCUGUCUUCAAAUGAAAACUUAUGUGAAAGACCAAAAGAGAAGGAUACAGAAGCUUGGAGGUAUUUUAGAAGCAGAUCCUGGGAACACGGCCUGCCUUCCUGAUUCCUAACCCAAAUUUCUUUCUGCUGCAUUUCUUCUGCUCUUCAUUCCUGCAAACAAGACUCCAAGAUGGAGUAUGGCUCUUCUCCACUCAGUGGUACCAGAAGCUAAAAUAUUUCAGGCCAGCCUAGUGGGCAAUUCAGGGUGUCUUCCUUCAAAAUCCAUCUCCUUCUCUGCAACUGAGAGGGUACAUCUAAUAAAGAUGUUGGCACUUCGUUGGUUAGUUUUUUGCUCCAAAGUACACUCCUCCUCUGACAUGCUGGUAUCUUAAUAAAGGUCAUUCACAGAGGGGAAGGAGCAUUGAAAAGAAUUUGGGGAGGCUCAGAACCAGAAAAACAUCAAAGAAGGCCUGAGUCCAUUGGCUGGCAUCCAUAUGUGAUGCUGAUGGAUGUCACAGGAGGGCACAGUUUCUUUCCAAUUGCCACUGGCUUCCCUGCCAAGGAGAACAGUCCUUGAAUUACAAAGGAGAAAACAGAAGCCACUGUGUGGUAAACUGGAGAUGACCAAAACUUCUAACGCUCUAAGUGAACUCAAAUCUCACACCUGGAUGAGCGGCACCCCAGGCUCACAGGAAAUGUUCCAAUGAGAUGGUCAACCUGCCAGCGAGGCCUUCCAGCUUCCCCAACCAUGAGAGGGAGGCCAGAAACAAGGAAUGAAACAAAGUCUCCGUUUAAUUAAAAAAAAAAAAGAAAAAGAAAAGAAAGAAACAAGAUUUCUCCAAGAUACAAGUACUUGGACUAGAAAUUGAUCUCAGAAAGUAUCAGUGGGGUGGGAGAGCGGGUUGUAAAGGGAAUUGAGCCUGGUGGUGCCAAGGAGUAAAGUCAGUCUCCCUAGGAACAAACCAUAUCAUACUAGGGCCAGUCAUUUCUUAAUAGGAUAAAGCCACAAAAUCGGGAGAUCAGAGAAAAUGAAGCAGACAAGAUGGAGUUAGCAAAGAACUGAGGACGCCGUUAUAACACAUAGGACAGAAAUCAGUCCAAUCAAGUAGGUGAACAACUUGAUGAUUGACAUUUGCAAUAGACAUGAAUUAGUUUUAGGGAAAUAUUUCUUGGCCUUACCCCAGGCAAUAUUUAACCAAAAGCAGAGAGUAUUCUUACCCAAAUUGUCCAGGUACAACAGAUCAAAUUAAAAUUAGCAUAUUUGCAGGAAGUAUGCUCUAUCCCCUUUGUAGAAUAAAAAUUUAGAAGCUCAGACUACCACCUGGAUGAAGUCAAUAAUACAUUGGAUGGCAAAAUGUGUAAUUAAAAAGAUCUGACAGCCUAACAUGAAAUUUGAUAAAAUUCUAAUUUAAGAGAGGUAAGUAUAAUUUUUUUUUGCUGAAAAUCUUUUUUUUUAAAUAAAAAAGCAUUGCUAAUGUUGGGGAGACACAACCUAGUGAGGUACUUAUGAUAUAGCCGUAGAAAUUAUAAUUGGUGUAACCUCAAUAGUACUUGAAGUAGGACAAAGCCACCAAGAAACUCUCAUCUUCAGCUAUGUCUGCAGAAUAACGUGGUGGUCUGCUUUGGAUGGACUAUUUAGGCAAAGUUCUAGGUACCCUGUUCUAAGAUUAAGGAAGGACUGGGAUAGGUCUGGAAGAGAAUGAGAGGAUUCAACAUUCAUCAGGUCAGACAUGGUUGAAGGAACUGAGUCAAUAACAUCUGGGCAGGCCUGGGCUGAACGGCCAGAUGGGGAUGUGUUCUGGGCAGUCCAGGCCCAACAGAAACGGUGCACCCUAACAUCUCCAAUGGCUGCAGCAGGAGGAAGGGAUCCAUCACAGGAGCCUGUCAAGGAAGGCCAAACAGUAACAGUACUUCCCAAAAGAUGCAACCUCUGUCCUCACCCUCCAGGCUCUCCCUGUCUUGGGUAGUGUCAACGUGGCCAUGUUUGCAGCAACUAAUCCUCUUCUGGAAAUAAAGACCUAGGACUUCAUCCGGCCAGUUGGAAGAGCUUCUUCUAUGAGCCACCAAACUGUACUGAAAUCCCAAUAAAGCCUUUCUAAUGAGA
Molecule: non-coding RNA, 2292 nt
Organism: Ictidomys tridecemlineatus (thirteen-lined ground squirrel)
Lineage: Eukaryota; Metazoa; Chordata; Mammalia; Rodentia; Sciuridae
Source: RefSeq, a predicted model, not a curated record